GCAGUUAGUAAAGAUGGACAGUAAGUGUUCUAUAGAAGCAGUUAGUAAAGAUGGACAGUAAGUGUUCUAUAGAAGCAGUUAGUAAAGAUGGACAGUAAGUGUUCUAUAGAAGCAGUUAGUAAAGAUGGACAGUAAGCGUUCUAUAGAAGCAGUUAGUAAAGAUGGACAGUAAGUGUUCUAUAGAAGCAGUUAGUAAAGAUGGGCAGUAAGCGUUCUAUAGAAGCAGUUAGUAAAGAUGG
Molecule: non-coding RNA, 239 nt
Organism: Pelobates cultripes (western spadefoot toad)
Lineage: Eukaryota; Metazoa; Chordata; Amphibia; Anura; Pelobatidae
Source: the annotation of a GenBank genome assembly